This 762-nucleotide long non-coding RNA is filed under the name Androctonus crassicauda. Lineage: Eukaryota; Metazoa; Arthropoda; Arachnida; Scorpiones; Buthidae. The record is from RNAcentral.
AUUUAUUCAAAUGAAAAUUAAAAUAUAUUGGAUCAUAGAAAUUAUAAAACCUUGGUUAAAAUAAUUUCAAAUCAAUGUACAGGUGAUCCUAGUUAGUAACCUUGUAUAGAGCACCUUGUAGCUCAGCAUAAUUAUUAGAAUGUCACAAAAGUUCAGAUUUAGACUAUUUAGGGAUGAAGAAAAGGAAUUUAAAAAAAAAAUUGUUCCAAAAUUUGCUACUAAAGGAAAUUGGUACUGUUCAAUAGUAAAUACACUCAGAAAGCAAAGGAAAUGAAUAAACAACACCUGUAAAAUGCAUUUAACAAUGUUUAUUCAUUUCCACACAAUAUAGGAAAAACAAGAUCUAGAGAAAUGUUUAGGGAUACAGCAAACAAAUUAAACUGAAAACUGAAUGAAAUUUGCAUAACCAUCUAUCCAGCAAAACAUUUGUAGUUAUAAAAAGGAACCCAACUAUGAGAUAUCAUUCUUUUUCUAAUGAUGACACUCUUUUUGCCAAAGUGUGCAUUGCUUGUGAAGUUUUUACAAAACAAACAAAAUACAGCAGCUACACUUCAUGAAUAUUGUUGUUACAAAAAUUUAAGGCAUGGACCAAUGAUCCAGAGUUCUGUCAGGAAACUUAUAGCUCGAUUUGAGGAAACUGAAAGUUUGGCUGUUGCAACCCAGUUGAGGACUGAAACAUGUCAGUCCAGCAUUCGAUGAAAAUGUUGCCACAAAUUUGGUUGAACAAUCUAUGAAUCAUCCUGCUUGUUCCAAUAGUGCACC